GUGAAAUGGAUUUUCCGCCUAAAGAGAAGCUUGCGGCUGAUUAGCUUGUUGGUAAGGUAAUGGCUUACCAAGGCGACGAUCAGUAUCUGGUUUGAGAGGACGAUCAGACACACUGGAACUGAGACACGGUCCAGACUCCUACGGGAGGCAGCAGUAGGGAAUUUUCCGCAAUGGGCGAAAGCUUGACGGAGCAAUACCGCGUGAGGGAUGACUGCCUAUGGGUUGUAAACCUCUUUUUUCAGGGAGGAAUAAUUGACGUGUACCUGAAGAAUAAGCAUCGGCUAACUCCGUGCCAGCAGCCGCGGUAAGACGGAGGAUGCAAGGGUUAUCCGGAAUCACUGGGCGUAAAGCGUCUGUAGGUGGUUAAAUAAGUCAACUGUCAAAUCUUAGGGCUUAACCUUAAAAUCGCACUCGAAACUAUUAGACUAGAGUAUAGUAGAGGUAAAGGGAAUUUCCAGUGGAGCGGUGAAAUGCGUAGAGAUUGGAAAGAACACCAAUGGCGAAGGCACUUUACUGGG
RNAcentral lists this ribosomal RNA (518 nucleotides) under uncultured microorganism. RNAcentral describes it as "SSU rRNA". It matches the Rfam family "Bacterial small subunit ribosomal RNA", at positions 199 to 733 of the family's 1533-position model. The record is from RNAcentral.